UACUGUAGUUGUUACGUCUAAACCACAUUUGCCACUGGAUUUCUUGAACAGCUUUUAGUCAUAAUGUCAUCUCUACACAUGUCUAAAUGAUUGUUUUGUUGUUCCUGUUGUGCCAGCUGGAGAUUUGUACUACACAUACAAGGACAAUGAGAGGAUGGUUGUGUGCACCAAAGACCAAAUUAUCAAUGUCCUGAAGGAGUGCCAUGAUAACCUGGGUUCCGGAGGUCAUGCAGGGAGAAGGCGCACCACCGAGAAGGUUUUGGCAACGUACCACUGGUCCACUAUGCGGGAGGACGUGAAGAAAUGGAUACAUUCUAACAGCGACUGAUCUGUUCACGAAGUGGGUGGUAGCAAAAACGCUCUACCACAAAACAGCUGUUGAGGUCUCAAAAAAGAUUGUAAAUAUUCUUCUCGAUUUCGGUCUUGUCGAGAAGAUCAUUACCGACCAAGGACGGGAAUUUGUCAAUGAGGUCAACCGUGGUGUUUUUGAUGCACUGGGUGUAAAACACUGCAUCACUUCAGCGUACCAUCCCCAGUGCAAUGGCCAAGAUGAGCGUACAAACCAAAACA
This is a long non-coding RNA of Gymnodraco acuticeps, 570 nucleotides long. RefSeq lists it as uncharacterized. The transcript is spliced from 3 exons. Lineage: Eukaryota; Metazoa; Chordata; Actinopteri; Perciformes; Bathydraconidae. The record is from RefSeq and is a predicted model, not a curated record.